CGAUUGGUAAACUGUUAUUUUCAAUUAGCGAGUUAUUUAGUGUCUCAAUGACAAGAGUUUGAAACUCAUUGGAAGCACUUUGUGGUCAGAAACAAGUCAAAACACGAUCGGAGAUAAUCUCACUCUUCGGAUGUGGGGACACCUAGUAAUAUUUAUCAAUUUUUUUUUAAAAAAAAUCAAGCUUAAAAAAUGUGUAUGCCCAUAACGGGCUAGUAUUGUAGUUCAAGUGUAUUUACUCUUGCAUUUGAUGUCCU
RNAcentral lists this long non-coding RNA (254 nucleotides) under Prunus persica (peach). RNAcentral's name for it is "long non-coding RNA (PPER_LNC008471)". Lineage: Eukaryota; Viridiplantae; Streptophyta; Magnoliopsida; Rosales; Rosaceae. The record is from RNAcentral.